GUGGUAGCUCAGUGGUAGAGCAUCUACUUUGGGUGUAGAAGGUUCAAUCACCAGUAUCUCCA
RNAcentral lists this transfer RNA (62 nucleotides) under Podarcis lilfordi (Lilford's wall lizard). RNAcentral's name for it is "tRNA.Pro". The record is from RNAcentral. Lineage: Eukaryota; Metazoa; Chordata; Lepidosauria; Squamata; Lacertidae.